This 253-nucleotide ribosomal RNA is filed under the name uncultured bacterium. Its description in RNAcentral is "partial 16S ribosomal RNA". It matches the Rfam family "Bacterial small subunit ribosomal RNA", at positions 524 to 776 of the family's 1533-position model. The record is from RNAcentral.
GACAGAGGGUGCUAGCGUUGUUCGGAUUGACUGGGCGUAAAGGGCGCGUAGGCGGUUAUAUUAGUCAGACGUGAAAGCCCCGGGCUUAACCCGGGAAUUGCGUUUGAAACGGUAUAGCUAGAGACCGGAAGAGGAAAGCAGAAUUCCUAGUGUAGAGGUGAAAUUCGUAGAUAUUAGGAGGAAUACCAGAGGCGAAGGCGGCUUUCUGGUCCGGUUCUGACGCUGAGGCGCGAAAGCGUGGGGAGCAAACAGG